AUGAAGGGAUGCAUGCUCUUCAUCUUGCAGGAGGGGACCCAGCCUUCUUCAACGCUCGUGACAUUGUCUCCCAUUGAUUCGUUCGUGCGACAAGGAGGGGACUCGCCAUUCUUCACGUCUCGUCCAACAACACUAACAAGUUUUCACUUUCCCGACGUGGCCACAGGGGUGAUCGACGCGGACUACCGCGGCCUGGUGGGCGUCGUGCUCUUCAACCACUCCGAGGUGGACUUCACCGUGAAGCCCGGCGACCGCGUCGCACAGAUGAUCGUCCACGUGAUCGUGACGCCCGAGGUCGCCGAGGUGGAGGACCUCAAUACCAUCGUUUGGGGGGAGGGAGGAUUGGGGUCCACCAGCAUCUGA
RNAcentral lists this ribosomal RNA (363 nucleotides) under Triticum aestivum (bread wheat). Its description in RNAcentral is "partial small subunit ribosomal RNA". Lineage: Eukaryota; Viridiplantae; Streptophyta; Magnoliopsida; Poales; Poaceae. The record is from RNAcentral.